This 466-nucleotide ribosomal RNA is filed under the name uncultured bacterium. Its description in RNAcentral is "partial 16S ribosomal RNA". It matches the Rfam family "Bacterial small subunit ribosomal RNA", at positions 28 to 507 of the family's 1533-position model. The record is from RNAcentral.
GACGAACGCUGGCGGCGUGCUUAACACAUGCAAGUCGAACGGAAAGGCCCUGCUUGCAGGGUACUCGAGUGGCGAACGGGUGAGUAACACGUGGGUGAUCUGCCCUGCACUUCGGGAUAAGCUUGGGAAACUGGGUCUAAUACCGGAUAGGAACCAUCUUUAGUGUGGUGGUUGGAAAGUUUUUUCGGUGUAGGAUGAGCUCGCGGCCUAUCAGCUUGUUGGUGGGGUAAUGGCCUACCAAGGCGGCGACGGGUAGCCGGCCUGAGAGGGUGUACGGCCACAUUGGGACUGCGAUACGGCCCAGACUCCUACGGGAGGCAGCAGUGGGGAAUAUUGCACAAUGGGCGCAAGCCUGAUGCAGCGACGCCGCGUGGGGGAUGAAGGCCUUCGGGUUGUAAACUCCUUUCGCUAGGGACGAAGCUUUGUUGUGACGGUACCUAGAUAAGAAGCACCGGCUAACUACGUG